UUCUGGACGGUAAUGGCUGUCUACUGGUCAUUUCUAUUGCUGCCAUCUGAUGGCAGGGGAGAAGGGGUAUUAUUUUACUGUGAGUUAUCUGAGCAUAGCACGUUUGAUCUUUUUUCAGCUCUUGGGCUUCCUUUGGCAUGUUUUCUUUGGGAGGGCCCCAGCUGGUGAUGUUGUAAAGCCUGCUCUCCCUCUUCUACAGCAGCCAGGCAACCCAGGGUCCUGCCCUGGUGUUAAAAGAAUGACAAAGGUCUCUGUUAACUUCUGGACUGAGGCACUGCUGAUCUCUCUGGGUCUCUUUUCCCGCAGCUUCACCAUCACAGGCCUCGCCUGGAGUGCUGUGUCCGGUUCUGGGCUCCUCUGUACAAGAGAGAUGUGGAGCUCCUGGAGCUAUGAAGAUGAUUAAGGGACUGAAGCAUCUCUCUUGAGAGGAAAGGCUGAGGGAGCUGGGCCUGUUUAGUCUCGAGAAGACGUGGCCGAGAGGGAACCUCAUCAAUGUCUAUAAGUAUCUGAAGGGAGGAUGUCAAAAGAUGGGGCCCAGGCUCUUCUCGGUGGUGCCAAGCAACAGGACAAGAGGCAAUAGGCAGAAACUGAUGCACAGGAAG
Long non-coding RNA from Pipra filicauda (Wire-tailed manakin), 602 nucleotides. RefSeq lists it as uncharacterized. The transcript is spliced from 3 exons. Lineage: Eukaryota; Metazoa; Chordata; Aves; Passeriformes; Pipridae. The record is from RefSeq and is a predicted model, not a curated record.